Molecule: ribosomal RNA, 325 nt
Filed under: uncultured eukaryote
Lineage: Eukaryota
Description: partial 18S ribosomal RNA
Rfam family: Eukaryotic small subunit ribosomal RNA
Source: RNAcentral
CCCUUAGAUGUUCUGGGCCGCACACGCGCUACACUGAAGGAGGCAGCGUGUACUCCUGGAUCGAAAGAUUUGGGUAACCCGCGAAUCUCCUUCGUGCUAGGGAUUGAGGUUUGCAAUUAUCCUUCAUGAACGAGGAAUUCCCAGUAAGUGCAAGUCAUAAGCUUGCGCUGACUACGUCCCUGCCCUUUGUACACACCGCCCGUCGCUCCUACCGAUUGAAUGGUCCGGUGAAGCGUUCGGACCGUGGCCUUUGGACGGUUCGCCGUCUGUUGGCUGCGGGAAGUUCGUUAAACCUUAUCAUUUAGAGGAAGGAGAANUCGUAACA